UUUAUACUCCCUUUAAAUUUGUCCCAUUUCUAAGACAGCAGAAUUUUCAGAAUUCUCUUUACAAUCAUUGAAGAACAGCUUGAAUCCCUGAAAUGUGUCAGUAUGCAUAUGGGGACCAGGCAUGGAGGGAAGUACAGUGUUCAUUUGAUGGGAAAAAGCUGUACAAGAUAUUCAGCCACUUGAUGGAAUGGGAAGGAAGUCCAGAUAUGGGGAGGGCCAUGUAACUUCUCAUCUAAACAGAGACACUUGUGAAAGAAUGGCCAUGAUUAAAACAUCAAAA
RNAcentral lists this long non-coding RNA (280 nucleotides) under Homo sapiens (human). Its description in RNAcentral is "HSALNT0124735". The record is from RNAcentral. Lineage: Eukaryota; Metazoa; Chordata; Mammalia; Primates; Hominidae.